This 461-nucleotide ribosomal RNA is filed under the name uncultured bacterium. RNAcentral's name for it is "partial 16S ribosomal RNA". It matches the Rfam family "Bacterial small subunit ribosomal RNA", at positions 338 to 795 of the family's 1533-position model. The record is from RNAcentral.
CCUACGGGUGGCAGCAGUGAGGAAUAUUGGUCAAUGGGCGCGAGCCUGAACCAGCCAAGUCGCGUGAGGGAAGACGGCCCUACGGGUUGUAAACCUCUUUUGCCGGGGAGCAACGGGCGCCACGUGUGGCGCCACUGAGAGUACCCGGAGAAAAAGCAUCGGCUAACUCCGUGCCAGCAGCCGCGGUAAUACGGAGGAUGCGAGCGUUAUCCGGAUUUAUUGGGUUUAAAGGGAGCGUAGAUGGGUUGUUAAGUCAGUUGUGAAAGUUUGCGGCUCAACCGUAAAAUUGCAAUUGAUACUGGCAGUCUUGAGUACAGUUGAGGUAGGCGGAAUUCGUGGUGUAGCGGUGAAAUGCGUAGAUAUUAGGAGGAACACCAGUGGCGAAGGCGGCUUACUGGACAGUAACUGACGUUGAGGCUCGAAGGCGUGGGGAGCAAACAGGAUUAGAUACCCCAGUAGUC